RNAcentral lists this ribosomal RNA (51 nucleotides) under Amorphotheca resinae (creosote fungus). RNAcentral describes it as "partial 28S ribosomal RNA". Lineage: Eukaryota; Fungi; Ascomycota; Leotiomycetes; Helotiales; Amorphothecaceae. RNAcentral also lists the same sequence under 7 other names. The record is from RNAcentral.
UUGACCUCGGAUCAGGUAGGGAUACCCGCUGAACUUAAGCAUAUCAAUAAC